RNAcentral lists this ribosomal RNA (314 nucleotides) under uncultured bacterium. RNAcentral describes it as "bacterial SSU rRNA". It matches the Rfam family "Bacterial small subunit ribosomal RNA", at positions 28 to 334 of the family's 1533-position model. The record is from RNAcentral.
GAUGAACGCUAGCUACAGGCUUAACACAUGCAAGUCGAGGGGCAGCAUGAACUUAGCUUGCUAAGUUUGAUGGCGACCGGCGCACGGGUGAGUAACACGUAUCCAACCUGCCGAUGACUCGGGGAUAGCCUUUCGAAAGAAAGAUUAAUACCCGAUGGCAUAGUUCUUCCGCAUGGUAGAACUAUUAAAGAAUUUCGGUCAUCGAUGGGGAUGCGUUCCAUUAGCUUGUUGGCGGGGUAACGGCCCACCAAGACAACGAUGGAUAGGGGUUCUGAGAGGAAGGUCCCCCACAUUGGAACUGAGACACGGUCCAA